RNAcentral lists this long non-coding RNA (1129 nucleotides) under Brachypodium distachyon (stiff brome). RNAcentral's name for it is "long non-coding RNA (BDIS_LNC002630)". The record is from RNAcentral. Lineage: Eukaryota; Viridiplantae; Streptophyta; Magnoliopsida; Poales; Poaceae.
UGUCAACUCAAGUGGCCCAAGUCUGGUUCCCAGCAAAAAACAAAAAGUUGCUCAAGUCUGGAAGAAGUUUCGAAAGGAAAAAUGAAAGAGGCCAUGGGCCAGGGUCAGCUUUGCUUUGUUGGUUACUCACGAUCGAAGACGAUCUUUUGGACUGAUUGUGAGCUUGUGCCCGCUACAGCUACUGCGCUGGAUAACGUAGUCCAAGCUAGUUUCCCAAAAUUUCCCUUAAAAAAAAUUAGUUUCCCAAAAAGAAAAGGCAAAGAAAACGUAGUACAAGCUCGAUUUGAGUCGUUACGUUACCGAGUUCAAAAUUAAAUUCAGCUUGACUCGAGUAGCUCAUGAGUUAAUUCGUUGGACACGUUAAUAAAAUUGGGCAUGCAAUCUCUAUAAAUCUGACUAUCUCGUAUGUACCGCAUUACAUUACAUAUCACAAUCUCAAGAAUUUGGACUAGAAACGUGACAAGAAAUCAGGAACAGAGGAAGUAGGAACUAGCAUGAUGUACAGUAAUUCCAUUUUACCCCCUUCCCUCAACUAUUGUCAAAGUCCAAAUGUAACCCUAAACUCUAAAACCAGGUAAGUUUUACCCCCUCAACUUCUCGUACCGUUUACUAGUACCACCAAAUUUGUUUUCACAUAGAUUUCCCUGGUUUUAGCUGCCACGCUGGUGAAGGAUUGACUCCGGCCAUCUUCUUCUCCCCCGCGCGGUGUUGUUCUGCCACCAAGAGGCUGGUCCUUUUUUGUCGAAUGAUCUGGUUCUUGCGUGAGUGCCCCCGCCCCCCCACCCCACCCCCCACACUACCUGCAAGAACCCUAGAGCCGCAACACAGCAAGUUGGUCGAUUCGGCACUGGUGGUGGCCAUUGAGCACGGCGGUUGGUCGAUUCAGCACUGGCAGCGGCGCCGGCAAUUCAGCAGCAGCAACUCCCGCUCUUCCCCUCCUGCAGCAGGUUGGGGAAAAGAACCGAGAGAGAGAGAGCGGGAGAGUGUGUGUGUGUGUGUGUGUGUGUGUGUGUGAGAGAGAGAGAGAGAGAGAGAGAGGGGGGGAGGUGAGGAGGGGGGGAGGGAAGGAAGAGAAGGCAUUUGCCGGCAUGGCGGUCAAGCCAGGUCAAGGUGCCAACGCUACGGCCAA